GUAAACAAAAUCAGUGAUAGGCAUAAGAGGAGAACUCAAACAAGAACACUCCCUGAGAUGCAAUUGAGCAUUACCUUCAACUGAUUCAUGGCAAUGGAGUGGGACAUGAGAAUCUCUUUUCCUCCACUUGAAAAAAUUAGGAUCUUCCCAUGCCUUGUAACCAUUACUCGAUGGAAGAACCAUUUGACUGAUUAAAGAAGACAUCACUUUACUUGGAGUUACACCUCUGCAAAUACAGAUUUAUGUCUUUAGCCUUGAAACGAUGGAAGAACCAUUUGACUAAUCAAAGAAGACAUCACUUUACUUGGAGUUACACCUCUGCAAAUACAGAUUUAUGUCUUUAGCCUUGAAUAUCUGAAUAAAACAAAUGUACAGGAUCUCAGCUAUUGAUGAAGCUUGUAAGAUGGAUUUUCUCAUAACCAAAACAAAUUAUGGAUAAAACACAUGUGCAGAUUUAUGUCUUUAACCAAGAAUAAAGAUCUUCCCAUGCCUUGUUAACGAUUCCUAGUGAAGCAUAUACCUUCACAUGUUCUUAUCUAUGUAAGUAUUUAUGUAUAUCCAAGUUAACUGUAAAAUCCACAAUAAAAGACAAACUUAUAAUUUUUUUUAUUAUUGAUAACAAAUAAAUCCUUGAGGUCCAAUAGCACGCGGUUCGAAACUCGAUGGAUAAUAGGCACCUGCUCUACCCUUCUCCGCUUGAGCUUUUGUCCGCAGUCAAUGGCCGAAGCAGAAUUUCCUCUAAGGGAGUUCAAAAGGAAAAAAUUCAAAAAUUAAAAGAGAUUGUGGCUAGUGAAAAUGGAACUAGCAACCUCGUAAAGAUUUUGAACCCCCUUAACCACUUAGCUAUGCUUUUGAGCUGUAUCGAGUGGAUUCAAAAUAUAAUAUAUAGAGGCACAAAAAUAUGUACAUUGUACAAUGUAAUUUUUUUAUGAAAGGGGCCCCCUUGCGCCCCCUAAAUCCGCCCCUGUUCGCGGUAGGGUUCGAAUUUGAAUGUGUCAUAUACACCUAACUCACACAACACAAGUUGUGAUCUUACCACUAGACCAAUGCCCUUGGGGCAACUUAUAAAUUUUUAUACUGGGCUGUUGGAGCUUUAUGAAGGGAGCCUUAUGAAGGGUGCCUUGGCGUAAUUGGUAAGUUGUUCUCAUAUGACCAGGAGGUCAUGAUUCGAGCCAUGGAAACAGCUUCUUGCAGAAAUAAGGCUUUAUGGUCCGACCCUUCCACUGACUCUGCGCAUAGCGGGAGUUCAGUGCACCGGGUUUUUGGUGCUUUAUCAGGUGGGUAUAUGUAGUGCACAAAUAGAACAUAGCUUAAAAAAUUUAUACUGCAUAUUAUACAAGCAAUAUACCCAUUUUAGGGAUUACAUUGUCCAAUACUCAUAAACGUUUUCAAAUGGACCAUAUAUCAUUAAGUAAAUCUCUGUAGACACAUAGUAAUAGACAAAGGCACACAGAAAAUGGGUAUUAAAAAUUAUCCAAAGGAUAUGAAGUAUGGAUAUAC
RNAcentral lists this long non-coding RNA (1500 nucleotides) under Nicotiana benthamiana. RNAcentral's name for it is "long non-coding RNA (NBEN_LNC028136)". The record is from RNAcentral. Lineage: Eukaryota; Viridiplantae; Streptophyta; Magnoliopsida; Solanales; Solanaceae.